UCUCACCACUACACCCUCCGUUGCCUCCCUCUUCCAUGCUAGUGCAUCGAGAUUUGCAAGCUCCUCAUGCUGUCACCCUUGCAGUGCCGUCCCUUCGCCGCUCGCUUUGAUCGGUUGCUCCCAUUUAGAAACUUGGAGCCUUCAAUGGUGAUGAUGGCCCUCUUCCACCCGUUCCUCCUCCUCGCAGUGGCACUUCUGACCUCCUUCUGACUGUCGAUGGUAGAGAUCUGGGUGACAGAGAUCCGAUCUGAUGGGCGGACCAUCAUCCCCUUCGCAAGUUCCUCCACGAUGUCGCCCCCGCAGCACCGUCCCCUCCGUCGCUCGCUCUGCUACUCGCUCCGAUUGGCUGCUUCUAUCUCGGGACUCGAAGCUUUCGGUGGUGAUGAUGGCCCUCCGCCACCUGUUCCUCCUCGCGGUGGCACUUCAAGGCCCUAGCCUCUCGGCAGUCAAUGAUGGAGAUCCGAUCCGAUGGACGAACCAUCAUCCCCUUCGCGAGUUCCUCCAUGUCGUUGCCCCUACAGCACGUGGUGAAGAUGAAAAAUGAGAACCCUCUCUGAUACACCACCGUGUUUUUUUUUUAAUCUUUUUAAUGGGAUUAUAGCCCAUUUAAGAGGAACUAUUGCAUCGGAGGAGACUUACAAACAAAUAAAUGGGUU
Molecule: long non-coding RNA, 656 nt
Filed under: Elaeis guineensis (African oil palm)
Lineage: Eukaryota; Viridiplantae; Streptophyta; Magnoliopsida; Arecales; Arecaceae
Description: long non-coding RNA (EGUI_LNC003513)
Source: RNAcentral